CCAGCUCGAAAGCUACGAAUGCUCAUCACGCAUAGGGUUGCUCCAUGCAUCCAUAUUUCUGAGCGGGCUAAGGUCUGAGUAUUUCAAUCCCCCUCGAUAGGCUCUUGCAGAGCCCAGUUACAGCUAGCUGCGCAACGUACCAGAAAUGCGGCUUCGUUUUCACAUCCCGAAGAUCCUGUCUACAGUAGAGGAGGGUGAGAACGAGAGCUUCGAAAAGCGUUGUGGGGAUCGGGCGAGCUUGUCUCUGUCGUUCUCAAGCAAUCAGUCGUCUAUCGCGCGUGCGUCUGUGAAGAGGACGCUCAUGAUUAUGGGCUAGGGGUGAAGUCUGAGAACAUCACCAUGAUUAAGUACGAGGCGAAGAAUAAUCGCCCGUAUCAGUGGUUUAGUCUCAGAUUAACACCGGCGAAUCCAGAUGAGGCUCGUCUACUGCCAUAGUAAUCAUGAUGGACUGCAUUUUCAAGUUAUGCUCGUUAUUCGAGGUGUGGGAGGUCGAUCACCCCCACCCCCUUGCGUACGAGGCACGUCUGAUUGUAUCAUUGUGCGACAGUGCUGGUUUGUCCUUGAGUUCACUUUCGUGGCUCAUGCAUCCUUUGCGGAUCGUGAAACUCGAUUCAGACUACUCUCGGACUGG
RNAcentral lists this RNase P RNA (631 nucleotides) under Suillus luteus UH-Slu-Lm8-n1. RNAcentral's name for it is "Nuclear RNase P". It matches the Rfam family "Nuclear RNase P". Rfam says of the family: Ribonuclease P (RNase P) is a ubiquitous endoribonuclease, found in archaea, bacteria and eukarya as well as chloroplasts and mitochondria. Its best characterised activity is the generation of mature 5'-ends of tRNAs by cleaving the 5'-leader elements of precursor-tRNAs. Lineage: Eukaryota; Fungi; Basidiomycota; Agaricomycetes; Boletales; Suillaceae. The record is from Rfam by way of RNAcentral.